Molecule: unclassified non-coding RNA, 317 nt
Filed under: plant metagenome
Description: partial contains 5.8S ribosomal RNA, internal transcribed spacer 2, and large subunit ribosomal RNA
Rfam family: 5.8S ribosomal RNA (bases 1-115)
Source: RNAcentral
AGAACGCAGCGAAAUGCGAUAAGUAAUGUGAAUUGCAGAAUUCAGUGAAUCAUCGAAUCUUUGAACGCACAUUGCGCCCGCCAGCACUCUGGCGGGCAUGCCUGUUCGAGCGUCAUUUCAACCCUCAGAACCCCUUGCGGGAUCUGGCGUUGGGGAUUGGCAUCCAGCCAGCCCCGAAAUCUAGUGGCGGUCCCUCCGCGACCUCCCCUGUGCAGUAGCGAUACCUCGCAGCGGGACAGCGGUCUGACCACGCCGUAAAACCCCCAACUUCUCAAGGUUGACCUCGAAUCAGGUAGGAAUACCCGCUGAACUUAAGC